AAAUUGAAGAGUUUGAUCAUGGCUCAGAUUGAACGCUGGCGGCAGGCCUAACACAUGCAAGUCGAACGGUAACAGGAAGAAGCUUGCUUCUUUGCUGACGAGUGGCGGACGGGUGAGUAAUGUCUGGGAAACUGCCUGAUGAAGGGGGAUAACUACUGGAAACGGUAGCUAAUACCGCAUAACGUCGCAAGACCAAAGAGGGGGACCUUCGGGCCUCUUGCCAUCGGAUGUGCCCAGAUGGGAUUAGCUAGUAGGUGGGGUAACGGCUCACC
This 272-nucleotide ribosomal RNA is filed under the name Escherichia coli. Its description in RNAcentral is "partial 16S ribosomal RNA". It matches the Rfam family "Bacterial small subunit ribosomal RNA", at positions 1 to 269 of the family's 1533-position model. The record is from RNAcentral. Lineage: Bacteria; Pseudomonadati; Pseudomonadota; Gammaproteobacteria; Enterobacterales; Enterobacteriaceae.